AGCGAACGCUGGCGGCGUACUUAACACAUGCAAGUCGAACGGGGAUCAUCGGGUUAGCAAUAACUCGGUGGUCCUAGUGGCGAACGGGUGCGUAACACGUGGGCAAUCUGCCGAGAAGUGGGGGAUAGCUCGCCGAAAGGCGAAUUAAUACCGCAUGUGAUUAGCUAAGACAUCUUAGCGACAUCAAAGGUGGCGCAAGCUACCGCUUUUUGAGGAGCCCGCGGCCUAUCAGCUAGUUGGUGAGGUAACGGCUCCCCAAGGCGAUGACGGGUAGCUGGUCUGAGAGGACGACCAGUCACACUGGAACUGAGACACGGUCCAGACACCUACGGGUGCAGCAGUCGAGAAUUUUUCUCAAUGGGGAAACCCUGAAGGAGCGACGCCGCGUGGAGGAUGAAGGCUUUCGGGUU
RNAcentral lists this ribosomal RNA (410 nucleotides) under uncultured bacterium. Its description in RNAcentral is "bacterial SSU rRNA". It matches the Rfam family "Bacterial small subunit ribosomal RNA", at positions 29 to 424 of the family's 1533-position model. The record is from RNAcentral.